This 3631-nucleotide long non-coding RNA is filed under the name Eutrema salsugineum. Its description in RNAcentral is "long non-coding RNA (ESAL_LNC001170)". The record is from RNAcentral. Lineage: Eukaryota; Viridiplantae; Streptophyta; Magnoliopsida; Brassicales; Brassicaceae.
CUUAAAUUGGUCCUUCAAAUUAUUUUUUCUUUGUUUGCAAGAAUGGAUCCAAGAUUGGUUUUGGUUACUCGAUCGGGUAGUGUUGAUUCUUUAUAUUCUCUUCUUCAAAAGGAUCCAUGCAUUCUUCAAAACGUCGCUGUUUUACCUUUCAUCCACACACCUCUCCAUGAAGCUUCGUCUAUUGGGGAUAGAUUUGGCGAUGGAACUGAUGAUUCUAAUGCCAUCUUUUGCUAAGAAACUAAACGCGGAUGGGUUUACUCCAUUGCAUCUCGCUGUAGAAAAUCACCAAGUUGAGUUAGCACUAGAGUUAGUCAAGUUUGAUCCCAGUCUUGUUCGUAUUUGUGGUAGAGGAGGUAUUUGCUUCAAAUUCUUAGUUCUUGUUUGUUCUCUGAAUUUUUGUUUUUUAUUAGGUUUAGAACAAAUUUUUUUUGAAACAUAUAACAUAAAAUUAGUUACUUCUUAUUGAGAUAUUUAAAUAUUUUUUGUUUUUUUUUUUAACUCGUAAGGACAGGUAUGACACCAUUGCAUCUUGUGGCAAAAAAAGGUGAUGUCGAUCUUCUUACAGAGUUUCUCCUGGUAUGUCCUGAGAGCAUUGGAGAUGCGAAUGUAAAUGGAGAAACUGCUUUACACAUCGUUGUUAUGAACGAUAGAUAUGAAGAGCUCAAAGUUCUGAGAGGGUGGAUGCAAAGAAUGCGCAAAAGUGAUGCUUCAUCCACCGAGAUUCACGUCCUGAACAAACGUGACCGUGAAGGCAACACGGCCUUGCACUUAGCGGCAUACAAGAAUGAUCACCAGGCAUGUUCUUACCCUUUCUAUAGACUUUUAUCCUAUAGGGUAUUUAAGCGGUUGAUCCGAAACCAUUGUUACUAUCAUACUAGUAUAUUUGCUAUGUAAUCCGAGGUAGUCAGAUACUAUUAGACCUUAAAAUUCACACACUCGUCUUCUUUGAAUUAUGUUGUUCUGCAUAUCUGUAUAUUAUACAGGCAGUAAAACAGCUGUUGAAAUGCAUGUCACUGAACCGCAACAUCCAGAACAAAGGUGGUAUGACAGCUCUUGAUCUCUUACGAGCCAAUGGACGUCACAUGAACAUAGAUACGGAGAAAAUCAUACAGAAAGCGGGUGGUAGGAGCGCGGUUUCUCUAUCCAAAGUUAAGAAAACGUCUGUCUUCCUAAGAAAACCGGUCACUUUCAAGGAAUAUUGCUCCACGGGAAUGGCACGCUACAGGAGUCGCAUGUCAGAUGGAACAAGGAACGCUCUUCUAGUAAUAACAGCUUUGAUAAUCACAGCUACUUAUCAGACCGCAGCCCAACCACAAGAAGAUCAAGACAUAGAAGACAAACUAUCUUUCAUAGAAAUCAUAUUAAAGAUAGUGCUACUAUGGGGACUCAAUACUAUAGCCUUUCUCUUGGCUAUUGCCUUGACGUUUAUACUCUUACCAGUUGGUAGAGCAUACACUUGGUGGUAUAUCUUCAUCUCGGCGCCUCUCGUUUGCUCUUACGCAAUUUCGGUGUAUCUGAAGUAUAUGCUCCCACUACCAUUCUUAUUAGCAUUCUUAAUCAUGUAUCUGAUGGUUGUAUUCGGAUUUCUCAUAUAUGUACUUGUAUUGUACGUGAAGUGGAAGCGGACUAUGCAGAACAAAGUACCAAGACACAAAAGCGAGCUGGUUUCCGAAGACUCAAAGACCAUGGUUUAGCCAUUUGAAGCGUUUGUAGAUUCUUUGUUCAUUGUAAAACUUUGAGGAUUGAUAUUGAAAAAUUCCAUAGCUUUGUACGUGGACUCCUUUUGUAAUAUACUGUUUAAGAUUCUAUCUUAUGAAUAACUUACAUGAUUAAAGUUCAACCUAAGCUUACUAGAGGAAGCGAAAAAGGUGUUUUAUGUGGCAGAAACUUAUACACUUUACCUUAAAGAGGAUUCACCAUCAAGCACAAAGGUCCAUUAAUUAGUCUAUAAAUCAAAAGUGCAAUGAAGAGGAAAUUAAUGGUUUAUGUAUGACCGGUGAACUGGCCGGUUCGAUAAAAGUGCUGGUUUUGGGGGUUUGACUUUUUUUUCUUCCUGACCCGUGAAUUGGCUAGUUCAACUGGUCUGAUUGCUAUGUCUGAUCCUUUAAGAACACAAGCUUAAACUCGGUGAAAUUUCAUAACCAAUAAAGUUGUAUUCCAGUUUUAUCAUUAGCUUCAUUUUAUGUUUGCAAUGGUCUUGAUUAAAAAAAACAUAACUACAUAAGAAUCGGAGUUCUCACUUUUAAACUGAAAAUGUUUUUUAAGAGCCUUAAGUCAAUUAUUUUAUAUCCUUGCGUUGAUUCACUGAUUAAACGUUAGGUGAGAAGCCGCCUUUUUCUUUUACUUUUAGAAACCGGCCUUUGUUUUUUUUUAGAAGCAGCCCACCAUUUGUUUUUUUCUUCUAAAACUGACCAAUAUAAUUGGUGAUUAUUAAGUCAAUGUAAAAAAAAACUAUAUAAAGAUAUAAAGAAAAUGGUUGGACUCGUUUCUGCUUAACCAAUAAAGUUGUAUUCCAGUUUUAUUAGUAGCUUUAUUUUAUGUUUGCAAUGGUCUUCAUUAAAAAAUAAAUAACUACAUAAGAUUCCGAGUUCUCACUUUUAAGCUGAAAAUGUUUUUUAAGAGUGUUAUUGUGUUAAGUCAAUUAUUUAUAUCCUAGCGUUGAUUCACUGAUUUUACUUUAGGUGAGAAGCCGCCUUUGUCUUUUACUUUCAGAAACCGGCCUUUGUUCUUCUUUUAGAAGCAGCCCAUAGUUUGUUUCUUAUUCUAAAACUGACAAAAUUAAUUGGUGGUUAAUUAAGUCAAUAGACUCAAUACUAAGACUGUAAAAAAAUAUAUAUAAAGAAAAUGCGUGGAGUCGUUUCUUCUUACAUUGGACCUUACAAAUAAUAUAUUUCUUUCUUUGUAAGUGUAUGGAUCCAAGAUUGGUUUUGGUUACUCAAUCGGGUAGCGUUGAUGCUUUAUAUUCUCUUAUUCAGAAAGAUCCAUGCAUUCUUCAAAUCGUUGACGUGUUACCUUUCAUCCACACACCUCUCCAUGAAGCUUCGUCUACUGGGAAGACAGAUUUGGCCAUGGAACUGAUGAUUCUAAAGCCAUCUUUUGCCAAGAAACUAAACGAGGAUGGGUUUAGUCCGUUACAUCUCGCUGUCGAAAACCACCAAGCUGAGUUAGCACUAGAGCUAGUCAAGUUUGAUCCCACUCUUGUUCGUAUUCUUGGAAGAGGAGGUAUUUAUAGUUAAAAAUCGUAACUCCUUUUUUUUCUGUGUGAUUCUUUUCCUAAUGUUUUUAUUAGGUUUAAAAAUCCCAUAUUUGAAACAUAUAAAAUAUAAAAGGUAACUUGAUGAGUGAGUUUUGUUCUUUCUCAUAACGACGACAGGUAUGACACCUUUGCAUCUUGUGGCAAAGAAAGGUGACGUCAAUCUUCUUACAGAGUUUCUUCUGGCAUGUCCUGAAAGCAUUAGAGAUGCGAAUGUAAAUGGAGAAACUGCUUUACACAUCGUUGUUAUGAACAAAAAAUACGAAGAGCUCAAAGUUCUCACAGGGUGGAUGCAGAGAAUGCGUGAAAGUGAUGCUUUAUCCACCGAGACUCACGUCUUGAACAAAUGCGACCGAGAAGGCAACACGGCCUUGCACC